AGUUCACACGUGAAACAUAAUCAAACACUUUUAAAAUAUUGAUAUGUAAUAUCUUAGUUUUUUAUGUUGUUUUUCUCCCGUUAUCAGAACUGUCCCUGACUCGCAGUGCAUGGAAAUGGAGGAAAGCGACUACAUUUAUGAUCUCUCCAACUGCACUGACAUGAACUUAUCAUGUCUUGAACACAACAGUGGGCCCAUGAAUGGCUGCGAAUACUCGCCAAGUUACUCUUGUAGGAGAGGUUACCUCAGUUCAGACUCCAACGAUGUAAGUUAGGUUACACUUAAGCAUUUCUGCCAUCUUGCUGUUGUGCUGCGACCGCACAAUCAGAUCAGAAUAUGAAAAUGUCAUUUGAAAAAGUUAGAUUUAUUAGAUUUAUAACACAAUUAAGGAUUCACGUCCGAAAAGAAGUAGGAAAAAGUGAAUACCUAUGAAGUCUAAACGUGUUAAAGCGACGGUAG
RNAcentral lists this long non-coding RNA (459 nucleotides) under Cottoperca gobio. RNAcentral's name for it is "lncRNA (ENSCGOG00000018153.1)". Lineage: Eukaryota; Metazoa; Chordata; Actinopteri; Perciformes; Bovichtidae. The record is from RNAcentral.